RNAcentral lists this ribosomal RNA (800 nucleotides) under uncultured bacterium. RNAcentral describes it as "bacterial SSU rRNA". It matches the Rfam family "Bacterial small subunit ribosomal RNA", at positions 8 to 831 of the family's 1533-position model. The record is from RNAcentral.
AGAGUUUGAUCCUGGCUCAGGACGAACGCUGGCGGCGUGCUUAAUACAUGCAAGUCGAGCGAGGUUUGUAGCAAUACAAGCUUAGCGGCGGACGGGUGAGUAACGCGUGGGCAAUCUGCCCUCUAGCCUGGGAUAACAGUUCGAAAGGACUGCUAACACCGGAUAUGGUGGCAUCACGGCAUCGUGAAGCCAUGAAAGUUUACACUAGAGGAUGAGCCCGCGUCCCAUUAGCUAGUUGGUGAGGUAACGGCCCACCAAGGCGACGAUGGGUAGCCGACCUGAGAGGGUGAACGGCCACACUGGGACUGAGACACGGCCCAGACUCCUACGGGAGGCAGCAGUAGGGAAUUUUCCGCAAUGGGCGAAAGCCUGACGGAGCAACGCCGCGUGAGGGAUGAAGGUCUUCGGAUCGUAAACCUUUGUCUAGAGGGACGAUAAUGACGGUACCUCUGGAGGAAGCCACGGCUAACUACGUGCCAGCAGCCGCGGUAAUACGUAGGUGGCAAGCGUUGUCCGGAAUUACUGGGCGUAAAGGGCGUGUAGGCGGCCUUUUAAGUCAGACGUGAAAACCCUGGGCUUAACCCAGGACCUGCGUUUGAUACUGAAGGGCUUGAGGACCGGAGAGGACAGUGGAAUUCCCAGUGUAGCGGUGAAAUGCGUAGAUAUUGGGAGGAACACCAGUGGCGAAGGCGACUGUCUGGACGGCACCUGACGCUGAGGCGCGAAAGCCAGGGGAGCAAACGGGAUUAGAUACCCCGGUAGUCCUGGCUGUAAACGAUGGGUACUAGGUGUGGGAGGUA